AGGACAACUGUUGAACUCUGCUGGAUUGCUAAUCAGUAUAUUACCUUCUGCAGAGAAAGGCAAUAUGAACUCCAGGCCACAAGAUAAGAUAUACAAGCACUCAUUCUCUCUCACCCUGUGAAGAGGUAUCUUCCAACAUGAUCGUGAGUUUCCUGAGCCCUCCCCAGCCAUGCAGAACUAUGGCCAUGAGAUUUAAUGUACAAGAAAAUGGAAGUAAAGCUGACUGACUAAAUGAAAAAUAAAAUGAGAGUGGAAAAAAACAUCGUGGACAACACAGUGACAAAAUCAUAACCUCCC
Long non-coding RNA from Symphalangus syndactylus (siamang), 297 nucleotides. RefSeq lists it as uncharacterized. The record is from RefSeq and is a predicted model, not a curated record. Lineage: Eukaryota; Metazoa; Chordata; Mammalia; Primates; Hylobatidae.